This 510-nucleotide ribosomal RNA is filed under the name uncultured bacterium. RNAcentral's name for it is "partial 16S ribosomal RNA". It matches the Rfam family "Bacterial small subunit ribosomal RNA", at positions 28 to 507 of the family's 1533-position model. The record is from RNAcentral.
GACGAACGCUGGCGGCGUGCUUAACACAUGCAAGUCGAACGAAGAGCGAUGGAAGCUUGCUUCUAUCAAUCUUAGUGGCGAACGGGUGAGUAACGCGUAAUCAACCUGCCCUUCAGAGGGGGACAACAGUUGGAAACGACUGCUAAUACCGCAUACGAUCUAAUCUCGGCAUCGAGGAUAGAUGAAAGGUGGCCUCUACAUGUAAGCUAUCACUGAAGGAGGGGAUUGCGUCUGAUUAGCUAGUUGGAGGGGUAACGGCCCACCAAGGCGAUGAUCAGUAGCCGGUCUGAGAGGAUGAACGGCCACAUUGGGACUGGGACACGGCCCAGACUCCUACGGGAGGCAGCAGUGGGGAAUCUUCCGCAAUGGACGAAAGUCUGACGGGGCAACGCCGCGUGAGUGGUGACGGCCUUCGGGUUGUAAAGCUCUGUUAAUCGGGACGAAAGGCCUUCUUGCGAAUAGUGAGAAGGAUUGACGGUACCGGAAUAGAAAGCCACGGCUAACUACGUG